Molecule: non-coding RNA, 1098 nt
Organism: Nicotiana tabacum (common tobacco)
Lineage: Eukaryota; Viridiplantae; Streptophyta; Magnoliopsida; Solanales; Solanaceae
Source: RefSeq, a predicted model, not a curated record
AUUCUUUUAAGUGUAAUUGGGAACUCUCUCCUUCCUUUGUUAAUAAUAAAAAAGCAACUGUUCUCUAGUGGACGUAGGAUUAUUUUGAUCCGAACCACGUUAAAUCUUGUGUUCUUUCUUUUACGUUUCCGCUAACAUGUGGUGAUCAACUUUUCUUGUUUUAGACAGCAAAGAUACUGUGAUUUACACUCCAUUAUUGAAGUUUGUGACGAACGACUUUUCAUGAUUCCAUUUGUCCAUGUUGUGAAUAUGCAUCGUCGUGCAAUAAAGUUGUUCUUUUAUGCAUAGUAGUUGUCAUGGCUUAGCUUGUUGCUGAGCAGGCUAUUAUUCCGAAAACAUGAAAAAUAUUGUUCUUUGCUAGUUAGUAUGACAUAAGGACUAGUCACUAUAUUUAAUCAAGAGGCAGCAUAACACAGGGUAGGCAUUGAUGAUUCCUAUUUAAACUGGGGAGGGGUGACGGAUUAACACUUGUUAACUAACCUAAAUGUUAUAUUAGCUGCACGUGCGGAGUUCUUCAUCCUCUUGCUAUUCAUCACGAUCCUUUCCCUAAUGGAAAUUUCCUUUCAUAUUUUCAUGUGGUUUCAGGUAUGCAACAACAAAAGCUUUCAUCGUAGCCUUCCUGAUGACCUUCUGCUCUAUAUUUGAUGUCCCAGUAUUCUGGCCAAUAUUGUUAUGUUACUGGAUUUUUCUCUUUGUCCUCACUAUGAAGCGUCAGAUCACACACAUGAUUAGAUACAAGUAUGAUCCAUUCAACAUUGGGAAAAAGAAGCAUACUGGGAAUAAAUCUGAUUGAGGCAGUAGUAGCUUCACGGGGAGCUAAUGUCAGGAGUGAUUUUUGAUAUCUUGCCAAGGGUAGUGAAUGUCCCCUUCUUUGUUUUGAGAAACUUACUGUAAAUAUUCUUUUUCUUGAACAUGUAUCCCAUGCAUAUGUAAAUGUUGCGAAGUAUGUAGAUUUGCUUCCUGCAGAUGUAAAAGCAAGUGUAGAGAGUUACCAUGAACUCUUUUUUUGGUUUCCUUUUGAUUUCUUACAAGGAUUCAGGUAUUUGGGAGGAUAGGGAACUUUGUUAUUAUCACCAUUGCACCUAUUGAGUUACUGCA